RNAcentral lists this ribosomal RNA (420 nucleotides) under bacterium. Its description in RNAcentral is "partial 16S ribosomal RNA". It matches the Rfam family "Bacterial small subunit ribosomal RNA", at positions 355 to 776 of the family's 1533-position model. The record is from RNAcentral.
UGGGGGAUAUUGCACAAUGGGCGAAAGCCUGAUGCAGCGACGCCGCGUGGGGGAUGAAGGCUUUCGGGUUGUAAACCUCUUUCGCUAUCGAACAAGGCCCGCUUAGGGUGGGUUGAGGGUAGGUGGAGAAGAAGCGCCGGCUAACUACGUGCCAUCAGCCGCGGUAAUACGUAGGGCGCGAGCGUUGUCCGGAAUUAUUGGGCGUAAAGGGCUUGUAGGCGGCUUGUCCCGCCUGCUGUGAAAACGCGGGGCUUAACUUCGCGCGUGCAGUGGGUACGGGCAGGCUUGAGUGUGGUAGGGGUGACUGGAAUUCCAGGUGUAGCGGUGGAAUGCGCAGAUAUCUGGAGGAACACCGAUGGCGAAGGCAGGUCACUGGGCCAUUACUGACGCUGAGGAGCGAAAGCAUGGGUAGCGAACAGG